AGUGAGAGCAAGGCUCAGUAAAGCACGUCGUGUGCCUCUGUCUUUGUGGCUGUUUCCAGGGCAGAAGCAGUGUCCACAGGACAAACUGGGAUAGCAGACCCAGCUGCCUGCAGGCAGCACAGCUACGGGUUUGUGCAUGGUUGUCAGAGGAGCAAGGCACAGCUUAGCUAAGCAGCUAUUAUCUAUCAAGCUAUCUGUUUAAUACUUGGAGUACUGCCUAGUAGUAUCAUAGGAAGAUGGGUUAAAUAUUAUCCCCCCAGGACUGGCUCCUUAACUUGUCUCGGUAUAGAAUUCCCUGCCCUCCACCCUAUCUUCUGCUCUUGGCUUUAUUCCCUCCAGCCAGCUUCUGCAUCUAACCUCUGUCCCUUCCCCUCCUCUGUGCUGCUGCUUGAUCACUAUCAUCACAGUUCCUGCCCUACUUGGAACGGGAGGCACCAGGGCAGUUCCCCUGAAGAAGCCAGUGUCAGACUCCCUGUAGAAGUAAGAUUGUGCUACAGGUAACUAGAUGAAAGAAUGUCUGAGGCUUGAGGGGAUGUGUCCUGUAUGGCCUAGAUGUCCCGUCCUCACCAUGAUGUUGCAUUUUUCUGCUCUGGACAAACAGGAAAAGUCUUAAAGAAAAAUGCUCUUGUGACUUGAACAGCCUAUAGAAGCCCAAAACUGAAUCUCAUUUCUCAGCUCCCAACACCUCCUUUCCCCUGGACAGUAUGGGCCAAUGUCACCAGAACCUCACACACCUUGCCCUGUAAGGAGACAGCCAAAAAAAGCAGGACAAACAGCACCCAGACCAGACAGAUGGCUGAUGGCUUGUGGGGCUCCAGGACUUGAGCUCCAAUGUCAGUUGCUGGGAAAUGAAAGCUUUGCCUCCAGACUUAAUUGAUCCCAUUCAUGCUAUGUAAACUCACAGCUAGGGCACUCUGGACCGUGGAAGACAAUGGCUGUUGGCACUGCUCCCUUCCCACACCCGGUGCUGGGUCAGACCUGAGAUGAGCCCCUUCUCCAAGCAGCCCCUUACCAGUGGGUGUCUCAGUCGCUCCUCGCUGCAGCAGGAUUGCCCCACCCUCUGCUGUCAGAUGUCUGUUUGCUUCUAAAAGCCUGAGGGAGACAUGGCAGAGACAUUGUGCUGCUGAAAAAAAAGGAGGAAGCGAAGCGAAAAUGGCAUGACAAGGUGACAGCAAGCUCUCAAGCUGUUUCAGAGAAGAGCAGGAAGCUGACUAUAGAAGCAAAAAGUCUUGCAAUGAGAUACCAGAAGAGAACUUGAAUGAGCAGAACCGUUACCGUUCCCCGUUAUGGUUCAUGCAGCCGUAACUGCCCAAGGUGAGGACAGGCAGCAAAUGAAGAGACAGGUGGGAACCCACCUCUGCAACGCUGCUUCAGGGCUACGGGCUUUGGGAGCUUGCUGCUUUGCUUCUAGACUCAGUAAUCUAUCAAUAGCCAGCCGCUUUGACUUCAGCCAUGCCUCAGUGUCCUAAAACAAAGAGAUGUACAGUGCACGAAUAA
Molecule: non-coding RNA, 1497 nt
Organism: Coturnix japonica (Japanese quail)
Lineage: Eukaryota; Metazoa; Chordata; Aves; Galliformes; Phasianidae
Source: RefSeq, a predicted model, not a curated record